AGAAUCAACGCUGGCGGCGUGCCUAACACAUGCAAGUCGAACGAGAAAGUGGAGCAAUCCAUGAGUAAAGUGGCGCACGGGUGAGUAACACGUGACUAACCUACCCUUGAGUGGGGAAUAACUUCGGGAAACCGAGGCUAAUACCGCAUAACACCUACGGGUCAAAGGAGCAAUUCGCUUAAGGAGGGGGUCGCGGCAGAUUAGUUAGUUGGCGGGGUAAUGGCCCACCAAGACGGUGAUCUGUAUCCGGCCUGAGAGGGCGCACGGACACACUGGAACUGAAACACGGUCCAGACUCCUACGGGAGGCAGCAGUGGGGAAUUUGCGCAAUGGGGGAAACCCUGACGCAGCAACGCCGCGUGGAGGAUGAAGUCCCUUGGGACGUAAACUCCUUUCGAUCGGGACGAUUAUGACGGUACCGGAAGAAGAACGCCCGGCUAACUUCGUGCCAGCAGCCGC
RNAcentral lists this ribosomal RNA (459 nucleotides) under uncultured bacterium. Its description in RNAcentral is "SSU rRNA". It matches the Rfam family "Bacterial small subunit ribosomal RNA", at positions 26 to 518 of the family's 1533-position model. The record is from RNAcentral.